RNAcentral lists this ribosomal RNA (460 nucleotides) under uncultured bacterium. Its description in RNAcentral is "partial 16S ribosomal RNA". It matches the Rfam family "Bacterial small subunit ribosomal RNA", at positions 338 to 795 of the family's 1533-position model. The record is from RNAcentral.
CCUACGGGUGGCAGCAGUGAGGAAUAUUGGUCAAUGGGCGGAAGCCUGAACCAGCCAAGUAGCGUGCAGGAUGACGGCCCUACGGGUUGUAAACUGCUUUUAUACGGGAAUAACGCGCCUUACGUGUAGGGCUUUGCAUGUACCGUAUGAAUAAGGACCGGCUAAUUCCGUGCCAGCAGCCGCGGUAAUACGGAGGGUUCAGGCGUUAUCCGGAUUUAUUGGGGUUAAAGGGAGCGUAGGCCGCAUGUCAAGGGCGCUGUGAAAUGUCCGGGCUCAACCCGGGCCUUGCAGCGGAAACUGGCGUGCUUGAGUCCGCGGAAGGCAGGCGGAAGUCGUGGUGUAGCGGUGAAAUGCUUAGAUAUGACGAAGAACCCCGAUUGCGAAGGCAGCUUGCUGGAGCGGAACUGACGCUGAUGCUCGAAAGCGCGGGUAUCGAACAGGAUUAGAUACCCGGGUAGUC